This 392-nucleotide ribosomal RNA is filed under the name uncultured bacterium. RNAcentral's name for it is "partial 16S ribosomal RNA". It matches the Rfam family "Bacterial small subunit ribosomal RNA", at positions 523 to 918 of the family's 1533-position model. The record is from RNAcentral.
AUGCGGAGGAUCCGAGCGUUAUCCGGAUUUAUUGGGCGUAAAGGGUGCGUAGGCGGCCUUGUAAGUCAGAUGUGAAAGAUCAUGGCUUAACUGUGGUAAGCAUUUGAAACUGCAGGGCUUGAGUACAGGAGAGGAGAGUGGAAUUCCUAGUGUAGUGGGGAAAUGCCUAGAUAUUAGGAGGAAUACCAGUGGCGAAGGGGACUCUCUUGACUGAUACUGACGCUGAGGCACGAAAGCGUGGGGAGCAAACAGGAUUAGAUACCCUGGUAGUCCUCGCUAUAAACGAUGAGUGCUAGGUGUCGGGGGUCAAACCCCGGUGCCGCAGUUAACACAUUAAGCACUCCGCCUGGGGAGUACGGCCGCAAGGCUGAAACUCAAAGGAAUUGACGGGG